AUAGUGACUUGCAAGCAACUCAUUGUGCUUUGAUGUCGGACUAUCUAGAUUUCUAAUACAGUGAUGGAAAGCUACUAGGUACAGUCAAAUACUUACAAAGUCUGUAUGUGGAUCAAGAUAGGAUUGACCCCUCUAGAUUGUAGGAGCUGUGUUGUACAAGGUUCCAGCACAUAUUUGGUGAGACCCAGAGAGGGGUUGGUAGCCGAAGAAGACUCGAUGAGACUCUGAGAGAGGAUGGUAGCCAAAGGGGUUUGAUG
This 257-nucleotide long non-coding RNA is filed under the name Elaeis guineensis (African oil palm). RNAcentral describes it as "long non-coding RNA (EGUI_LNC043920)". Lineage: Eukaryota; Viridiplantae; Streptophyta; Magnoliopsida; Arecales; Arecaceae. The record is from RNAcentral.